Molecule: long non-coding RNA, 375 nt
Filed under: Homo sapiens (human)
Lineage: Eukaryota; Metazoa; Chordata; Mammalia; Primates; Hominidae
Description: non-protein coding lnc-SEL1L-9:2
Source: RNAcentral
CCAUGCAGUUCAAUUAUCCUGAUUCUUCAGUUUCCAUCUGUAUGAAACAGGCCACGCAGCAGAGACAUAGACACAUCAGAAUUCCCAUCUGCACUGCAAUAAACACUACUUAGGAGAAUCAGUCUCAGCUGGACCAAACCUCUCAGUCCCACUCGAUGUCAUCUGUGCCAAGCCAAGGAUGAAAAAACAACAACAACAACAACAAAAACUGCCAUGAAUUCCACAGACACAAAGAAAUGAAUUCUGCAAGCAAUUCAAGGGCAAUCUAUAACCUCACUGACUUGAGAUCCUGAGGAGGACCCAGUCCUGGCUGCCACCUGGAUUGCCCUGUGAUAUCCUCAACAGAGAACCCAUCCAACCUGUGUCAGGGCUCCU